CCUACGGGUGGCAGCAGUGAGGAAUAUUGCUCAAUGCCCGAAAGGGUGAAGCAGCAACGCCGCGUGGAGGAUGAAGUCCUUCUGGACGUAAACUCCUUUUAGAGGGGACGAAAAGCCCGAUUUGUCGGGAAUUGACGGUACCCUCAGAAAAAGCACCGGCUAACUACGUGCCAGCAGCCGCGGUAAUACGUAGGGUGCAAGCGUUGUCCGGAUUCACUGGGUGUAAAGGGUGCGCAGGCGGGCUCUUAAGUCAAAGGUGAAAUCUCUCGGCUUAACCGAGAAAUUGCCUUUGAUACUGAGGGCCUUGAGUACGGGAGAGGGAGAUGGAAUUCCAGGUGUAGCGGUAAAAUGCGUAGAUAUCGGGAGGAACACCGGUGGCGAAGGCGGCCCCCGGGACGG
Molecule: ribosomal RNA, 399 nt
Filed under: uncultured Ignavibacteria bacterium
Lineage: Bacteria; Pseudomonadati; Ignavibacteriota; Ignavibacteria
Description: partial 16S ribosomal RNA
Rfam family: Bacterial small subunit ribosomal RNA
Source: RNAcentral